GACGAACGCUGGCGGCGUGCUUAACACAUGCAAGUCGAACGGAAAGGCCCCGUUUGGGGUACGCGAGUGGGGAGCGGGUGGGUAACACGCGAGUAACCUGCCCUUGACUUCGGGAUAAAUUCCGGAAACUGGGGCUAAUAACGGCUAGAAAUCCGUGCUGGAUGGUGGGGGUUGGUAGGAUUCGGCGGUUUUGGAUGGACUCGCGGCUUAUCAGCUUGUUGGUGGGGUAGUGGCUUACCAAGGCUUUGACGGGUAGCCGGCCUGAGAGGGCGAACGGCCACCCUGGGACCGAGGUUAGGCCCCGACUCCGACGGGAGGACGGCGGGGGGAAUUUUGCACCAGGGGCGGGAGCCCUGUGCAGAAACGCCGCGGGCGGGAAUGCGGCCUUCGGGUUGUAAAACGGCUUUAGCAUGGGACAAGCUUGUGGUGACGGUACCGGCAGAAGAAGCACCGGCUAACUACGUG
Molecule: ribosomal RNA, 465 nt
Filed under: uncultured bacterium
Lineage: Bacteria
Description: partial 16S ribosomal RNA
Rfam family: Bacterial small subunit ribosomal RNA
Source: RNAcentral